CAAAAACAUGUCUUUUUGAUUAUAAUUUAAAGUCUAACCUGCCCAAUGAGGAGUUAAAUGGCCGCGGUAUAUUGACCGUGCAAAGGUAGCAUAAUCAUUAGUUUUUUAAUUGAAAGCUGGUAUGAAUGGUUGGACGAGAAAAUAACUGUCUCAAUUUAAAUUGAAUUAGAAUUUUAUUUAUGAGUAAAAAAGCUCAUAUAAGUUUAAAAGACGAGAAGACCCUAUAGAAUUUAAUAUAUGUAUAUAUAUAUUAUUUUUAGAAUUACUAAUAAGGUAUAUGUAAUUAUAUUUUGUUGGGGUGAUAGAAAAAUUAAAAUAACUUUUUUUAUAUAAAAACAUUAAUGUAUGAGAAAAUGAUCCGUUAAUUACGAUUAUAAGAUUAAAUUACCUUAGGGAUAACAGCGUAAUUUUUUUUUAGAGUUCUUAUCGAAAAAAGAGUUUGCGACCUCGAUGUUGGAUUAAAAUUAACUUUUGGUGUAGGGGCU
Molecule: ribosomal RNA, 485 nt
Filed under: Xylotrupes wiltrudae
Lineage: Eukaryota; Metazoa; Arthropoda; Insecta; Coleoptera; Scarabaeidae
Description: partial large subunit ribosomal RNA
Rfam family: Bacterial large subunit ribosomal RNA
Source: RNAcentral